UAGAGCUGGGCGUGGGCACUACUCUCCUCAUCCCCUCCGCUCUCUCUGGGAAGCACAUUGUUCAACGCGGGCACAUUAUAGGACCCAGGACCAAUGAAUGCCUUGGUGCAGUUUAGCUACUUAAAAUUACACCGUUUCUUACAGUGAAUAGGACGCAAAUACCUGAAGAAACGGGGAAAGAGACUCGGAAUAUUUUGUGGCUUUUUUCCGAUUUCAGCGGAGAAGCAAAACAAUUGAAAGAUUUUCUUCUUCCUCUCCGGUAGAAACGCCGCUCCUGUCGCCAAUAGACCUCUGCCUGUUCAGCGGUGGUUGUGUGUGAGUGUGUGGUUGAGCUGCAGCUGCGAACAUGACGGAGUAUAAGCUGGUGGUGGUGGGAGCUGGAGGCGUGGGCAAGAGUGCACUUACCAUACAGCUGAUCCAGAACCACUUUGUGGAUGAAUAUGACCCCACAAUAGAGGACUCAUACAGGAAGCAGGUUGUGAUCGACGGGGAGACCUGCCUGUUGGACAUCCUGGACACUGCAGGUCAAGAGGAGUACAGCGCCAUGAGGGAUCAGUACAUGAGGACGGGGGAGGGCUUCCUGUGUGUCUUCGCCAUCAACAAUACCAAGUCUUUUGAGGACAUUCACCAGUAUAGAGAACAGAUUAAGCGUGUUAAGGAUUCCGAUGAUGUUCCCAUGGUCCUUGUGGGAAACAAAUGUGACCUCCCUGCGCGCACGGUGGACACGAGGCAAGCCCAUGAGCUCGCUCGCUCCUAUGGCAUCCCCUACAUUGAGACCUCUGCCAAAACACGGCAGGGAGUAGAGGACGCCUUCUACACACUGGUUAGAGAGAUCAGGCAGCAUAAGUUGAGGAAGUUGAACCCACCCGAUGAGAGUGGUCAAGACUGUAUGAGCUGUCGCUGUGUGGUGUCGUGAUGCAGGGUGGGAGCUGGCCUCUUCCAAGCCCCCAACCAUAGAGUACAAGCAGCCACUGAUUGAUGACUCACUGCUACAUGUUGAGAAACGCUACGGCACAAAGUGGCAGCAUGGACUUAAGGACUGGAAGAUGAAACAACCCAACGAUGAAAACAAAAACUUUUCCAACAAAAGGAUGAUUGAAACAAAAGCCCUGACAGAAACCAUCAGGGCUGACUGAACUAUAGACUUGUAUGGAAAGGGGAAUAUUGGACAGUUGCCUAAGUGGCUAGCGGAACUAGACUGGUCCAGCCCCAUCUUUUUUGUUGGUCCACAUCGACCUGUGAGCAACACCACUAAUGACUCUUUGUCAGCUGCAAUGUGGCAUCGCUGGGUAGCUCCACAACUUUCCUGCUAACUUAUUGUUUUCAGUCUCAACACUGGUAAUUGGGGGGGCGGGUAUCUCACCUCCGCCCUCCUUAAAAGCCUGAUUCCACUCCCCAUCCCCCACCUAGCUGCUGGAAGGAAUGAGUGACUUCAGUGGAAAGAACUGGAAUUGACUUUUAGUUAACCCAACACCUCUCAUGCUAACCCAUCCCAUUCCCGCUUCACCCUACCUGCCUUUGGUUUCUUUUGAAUGGCAAUGAAAUCCCUGCGCUCUAACUGGAUACAGGGGGUGGAUGCUGACAUGGGAAAGACUGUAUUUUUUGUUGUUUAUCAAUUAGCCUACCUGUAAAAUAACAAAAAA
Molecule: RNA transcript, 1643 nt
Organism: Pundamilia nyererei
Lineage: Eukaryota; Metazoa; Chordata; Actinopteri; Cichliformes; Cichlidae
Gene: hrasb
Gene name: HRas proto-oncogene, GTPase b
Exons: 7
Source: RefSeq, a predicted model, not a curated record